This is a small nucleolar RNA of Grammomys surdaster, 134 nucleotides long. RefSeq annotates it as small nucleolar RNA SNORA17. Lineage: Eukaryota; Metazoa; Chordata; Mammalia; Rodentia; Muridae. The transcript has a single exon. The record is from RefSeq and is a predicted model, not a curated record.
ACUGACCCUAGAAACAUUGCAAAUGUGGCUGUUGUGUCAUAUAUGUGUCAGGAAGUGGCAGAGAGAAGGGAUGCUAUGUCUACUUCAAUAUUCUGACCUUUGAACAUUUCAUUUAUUUGGAGUAGUCUUACAUU